Molecule: ribosomal RNA, 506 nt
Filed under: uncultured bacterium
Lineage: Bacteria
Description: partial 16S ribosomal RNA
Rfam family: Bacterial small subunit ribosomal RNA
Source: RNAcentral
AUUGAACGCUGGCGGCAGGCCUAACACAUGCAAGUCGAACGGUAACAGGAAACAGCUUGCUGUUUCGCUGACGAGUGGCGGACGGGUGAGUAAUGUCUGGGAAACCGCCUGAUGGAGGGGGAUAACUACUGGAAACGGUAGCUAAUACCGCAUAACGUCGCAAGACCAAAGAGGGGGACCUUCGGGCCUCUUGCCAUCGGAUGUGCCCAGAUGGGAUUAGCUAGUAGGUGGGGUGACGGCUCACCUAGGCGACGAUCCCUAGCUGGUCUGAGAGGAUGACCAGCCACACUGGAACUGAGACACGGUCCAGACUCCUACGGGAGGCAGCAGUGGGGAAUAUUGCACAAUGGGCGCAAGCCUGAUGCAGCCAUGCCGCGUGUAUGAAGAAGGCCUUCGGGUUGUAAAGUACUUUCAGCGGGGAGGAAGGGAGUAAAGUUAAUACCUUUGCUCAUUGACGUUACCCGCAGAAGAAGCACCGGCUAACUCCGUGCCAGCCGCCGCAGUAA